Molecule: ribosomal RNA, 253 nt
Filed under: uncultured bacterium
Lineage: Bacteria
Description: partial 16S ribosomal RNA
Rfam family: Bacterial small subunit ribosomal RNA
Source: RNAcentral
UACAGAGGUGGCAAGCGUUGUUCGGAAUUACUGGGCGUAAAGGGCGCGUAGGCGGCCCGUCAAGUCCCGUGUGAAAGCCCCCGGCUCAACCGGGGAACUGCACGGGAAACUAGCAGGCUUGAGUUCGGGAGAGGGAAGCGGAAUUUCGGGUGUAGCGGUGAAAUGCGCAGAUAUCCGAAGGAACACCAGUGGCGAAGGCGGCUCGCUGGGCCGGUCCUGACACUGAGGCGCGAAGGCGUGGGGAGCGAACGGG